This 253-nucleotide ribosomal RNA is filed under the name uncultured bacterium. RNAcentral's name for it is "partial 16S ribosomal RNA". It matches the Rfam family "Bacterial small subunit ribosomal RNA", at positions 524 to 776 of the family's 1533-position model. The record is from RNAcentral.
GACGUAGGGCGCGAGCGUUGUCCGGAUUUAUUGGGCGUAAAGAGCUCGUAGGCGGCUUGUCGCGUCGAAUGUGAAAACUCGGGGCUCAACUCCGAGCUUGCAUUCGAUACGGGCAGGCUAGAGUUCGGUAGGGGAGACUGGAAUUCCUGGUGUAGCGGUGAAAUGCGCAGAUAUCAGGAGGAACACCGGUGGCGAAGGCGGGUCUCUGGGCCGUAACUGACGCUGAGGAGCGAAAGCGUGGGGAGCAAACAGG